CAGAGUUGCAAAACUCCCACAAACCAUCGCGAAUCUUACCCCGUACCGGUUGCCUCGGCGCUGGCGGUCCGGAAGGCCCUCGGGCCCCCCGGAUCCUCGGGUCUCCCGCUCGCGGGAGGCUGCCCGCCGGAGUGCCGAAACCAAACUCUUGAUAUUUUAUGUCUCUCUGAGUAAACUUUUAAAUAAGUCA
Molecule: unclassified non-coding RNA, 190 nt
Filed under: soil metagenome
Description: partial internal transcribed spacer 1
Source: RNAcentral